This 261-nucleotide ribosomal RNA is filed under the name uncultured prokaryote. RNAcentral's name for it is "partial 16S ribosomal RNA". It matches the Rfam family "Bacterial small subunit ribosomal RNA", at positions 524 to 784 of the family's 1533-position model. The record is from RNAcentral.
UACGUAGGUGGCAAGCGUUAUCCGGAAUUAUUGGGCGUAAAGAGCGCGCAGGUGGUUGAUUAAGUCUGAUGUGAAAGCCCACGGCUUAACCGUGGAGGGUCACUGGAAACUGGUCGACUUGAGUGCAGAAGAGGGAAGUGGAAUUCCAUGUGUAGCGGUGAAAUGCGUAGAGAUAUGGAGGAACACCAGUGGCGAAGGCGGCUUCCUGGUCUGUAACUGACACUGAGGCGCGAAAGCGUGGGGAGCAAACAGGAUUAGAUA